Long non-coding RNA from Ctenopharyngodon idella (grass carp), 8140 nucleotides. RefSeq lists it as uncharacterized. The record is from RefSeq and is a predicted model, not a curated record. The transcript is spliced from 3 exons. NCBI's taxonomy places the organism in Eukaryota, Metazoa, Chordata, Actinopteri, Cypriniformes, Xenocyprididae.
GAAUAAAGACUCCACGCCAGAUGAUGUACAAAUAAUUUAGUCUAUUUUAUUAUGGAACAUAGUAAGAACUGUGCUCCUUAGCUCCGCCCACCCUCACAUCCAGUCAAGUGGAAGGGUUUGGGUGGGACAGGAAAACAAAACAAAAAAAAAAUCAACCAAUAAGAUCACAGUCCGCUCGGCCAAAAAAACAGGAGAGGCUCAAAAUUGGGAACGCUUUACUGUCACACUGCUGGACGAAUGUCUCGGAUGCCUCUAGCUCAAACCACGGCCCCCCAAAAACAAUAAACUCUCUACUGCCCACUAUACGAUUUCCCAAACAUUCAAACCAGCUCCGGAAAGUGGAGUAAAGGGUGCGUGUUGUACACCCGUAUGAUACACUCUUAAAAAUAAAGGUUCCAAAAGGGGGUUUUCGCCAUAGUAGAACCAUUUUUGGUUCCUUAAAGAACCUUUGCAGUGAACAGGUUCUAAAAGAACCAAGUGUGAAGAACAUUUUAAUAAUCCAAAGAACCUUUUUUUCAAUAUAAAGAACCUUUUGUGGAAUGGAAAUGUUUCAAGGUUCUUUCUGGAACUACAGAUGCAGAUAAAAACCUUUAUUGUUAUAAGAGUGUACAUUUUUUAAAACUCUACAGUGGCUUUCUGUCCAACCGUUCAUGGAAUGUUCGAAGUUUUUUGACAAGUAUGAGAUUAACGGAAGAGCUUUAGGAAGAGCGAGGCGUCUGAAACACUAGCCCAACUUCAACACUUCAUCGCACACACGUACAUAGCGUCUCAUGAAGAAACAAACACUCAAGACAAGCAACAAUAGGAACGAAAAUGGAAAUGAAGGGGAGGGAAGAGAGACAUCUAACACAGGUUGCACACUUAGACAAUAACAGGUGAGUUAGAUAAGAAAGGUGAAUUCUGACAUACUAACAUAUGAAUUGUGAAAACAGACGCAAAUCCUUCGCCAACCACUCUGCGUUCCCAAGCACUCUCCUGGGCGCCUGAACCUCGCUGUGUUCAUCAACAAACAAUAAACGAACAAACAUACAACCAAUAGAAAGGAAACAACACAUGCCGUAUGAUGCCACUAAGUCAUUUACAAAAACAUUGAAAGAAACAAAUGACAACGAGCAAAGAAUGCGAGGAUAUAAAAACGUGUGGCAUCCCUCGGCAUUUACAGAAAGCAUGUUUAACUGGCUUUAGAUCGCAUCUAUGCUGUUGUUAACCUCUAUCGACACUAUUCUGUGAGUCGCUCACAGGCAGCUAAAUCUAUACAGUACCGUUAUUCUUCAUAGAUUUAUAGGUUGUUUUUUACACUGUACAAAGUUGGCAAAAAAAUACAUGAAUAAAUACAUAGAGUCAGAUUGUACACAUCAAGCGUGUGUUGAGACUUCGAGCGCUCUUCGCCGGAGAGGUGUAUCAGGGGGAACGAGAGCGAGCAAGAAGGACGUAAGCCCUCCAGACGGGCAAAAUAAUAUUGUGUUAUUGAAGUUUCAUUACUAGAGUCGUCUUUCAUCGGUCAGCACUCCUCCAUGUAGCAUAAUGAACAUGCGGUAAAACUUUAUAAUUAAAAUGUGUGUUUGUGUCACUGAAGUGGCUUCAAGGCUGCAAUGCGGAUUAAACUCAAAGUGCUGAGCGUGAGAGAAACAGAUUUUAUUGCCUGUAGAUUAUCAGAACAUGCUGUAACUCGAUUUCUCUUGCUCGUGAAAAACUUGCCUGGGCAAUUGGUGUUGGCCUGACAACUUUACAGAUUUCUCAUGUCUCCAUGAUAUUCUGGUGCCGAAAUAUGGUCCUCAAGGAUUUAGAGUUUAAACAUACAUUUUUUUAUUGUCCAAAUGGCGAAAAUCAUACAAUCUGGCGAGUUCUGAUGCCAACUGCAUGAAUUUUUGGGCUAUUUUAGCUUGUUUAAUCGCAUACACGUCACAUUUUUUGGCAUUUUGGACAGUGUAGAGCGAACAGGAAAUGAGGUGGUAGAGGUAGAGAGGGGGACAGGAUCAGGUCCACGAGCUGGGAUUCGAACUCAGGAUGCUCAAAAAAAGCAAUGACGCUAUAUGUCGAUGCUGCCCACGAGGCUAUCGGCACCGACUUUCUCACCAAUUUAUUUGUCUGAAUUGUGCAACACUUCGGUCAACAUCUUUUGAUUUGAAAUGUGCUAUAUAAAUAAACUUUGACAAUGUGUUAACAUGAAAAAAAAAGCUUAGAGGUUUGUUCAAAUCACUAGCCUUAACUUUUAAGCAAUAGUGAUGAUGCUGGCCUUAACAAGUACUGUACAAGCCAGCUCAUCAGGACUUGGAUUUGAUAGAAAUUUGGCCAGAGGGCUUCGGUUUUUAGGGUUUUGGCUGUAAAUUUCCAUGUAGAGAGAGACUGGUGGAUGAUAUCGUUAAGCCCUGCCAAACACACCAGGCAGCAGCAUAUGGGACACAGACAGGCUGCAUGUGCUUGUUCUGCAUAUGCCGGACCGCAGCGAGUGUGUAUCUGUCUCAGCUGGCCGUCGUCAUGCAGUUUUGAUGCAGUUCUGAGAGCUAUCUACACUAAUAUUUGAAAACAGAUGCAACCCGCAUCAAACUAAAACAACAUGGAGCCAUUAUGAAACUCAACACAGACUAUGUGCGCAUAUGUGUUAUACAGCUAUUUUUAAACUUCUCCCCACGAGUGAUUGUCUGGGGUGAUUUUCACCAGUGUUAAAAUGAAAAGAUCAUUUAAACUGCAUGUUGUCGAUUACCACAGAGUCAGACUAUAACUUUGGCUUCUUUGCAAAUUCACAAUGACAGAAAUCCAUAAAUUUGUCUGAGCCAAGACACAUUUUUGUUUGGGUUUACAAACUGAGGGAUGAAAUCUUUUUUUGUGGUAAAUGACAUGGUAUCUAGCCAAGAACACUCUUUUAAUAUGAGGUUUGUGACCUGUGAUAAGACAUUUUGUUGGCCGCCUGGUUUCUAUUAUUUAUUAUCAUUGGCUAGCCCCGCCCACAGUGAAAUCUCAUUGGUACAAAAUAACACUACUUGUUUUGAUAUUAAACAUCAAGUAUCUUCUAAUUGGCUGUGAUUUUGGAGCAUUUUGGUUUUUAAUGACGACAGGAAAAUCACUCCUGAUUAGGUCUGGGGGAACUGUAGGUAAAAUUAUGGGCUGGGUUUGGCAGUGUGAUGAUUGGCAGUUGCUUUCUUGCUCCUUCAUUCCCCCUCAGCCUCAGCAAAAAUACGACAGAUGUGAAAAUCCCUCGUUCAAGAAGGGCGAUCGGGCUCGUCAUCAACAGACGGUUCAUCAGGAAUAUCUGUUUUCAGUACAAGUGACAAACAGAAACAUGUACAAUAAUUUUCUUCCAUUUUUGCUCAGUUAUUUACAAAAAAGUUUUUCAAAACAUGAAAUCAGGAGACUUCUUCCAUAUAUCAUCAACAUUUAUCAUCAAGAAUAACAGAAAAACACAGAGCACGCACACACAUACAGACGCACAGAGAGUCGAACGGAAACGGAAAGAGAAGAAGAAUUAUUACUUGUAACGCCGUUUUUAACGUCAUUCAGAAGAAGUCGCACUAAAACCCUGACAGGGAGGAGUCACGCUUCCUGACGGACAGCUCUUCAAACCAAUAAAGAGAAGUGAACGGGGAGCUGGAGCUGGAAUGACAGAGCUGAAGUGAGAGAGACAGAUAAAGAGAGAGAUAAAGAAACUGACAGACACAAUUUGGAAUAUGUCACAAACGCACUAUGAUUGACCAUCACACACACACCACAGAACCAAAUCCGCUCUAAUAAAGCUUUCCUGUCAUCAGAGAGAGAAGAGUUACCCGUCCACAGGUCAGAUGAGGGCAUUUAGAUCUCUAAUAAAGUAGCUCCAGAGCUACAAUUGCAAAAAAGUUCAUGUCAACAAACUACAUUGCAGCUGGCUUUGCACAGAACAAGAAAAAGACAAAAAUGCCUGUUGAUGCUUUGUUAGCGGGCUUCUGGUGGCAAAUUAUUUAACAAAUGAUAUAAGGGGAACUAGCUUACAUCCUGUAGUGUUGCUCUCCAAAUCACAAACUAGAUCUCUUUAUUACCUCAAUUAUUUCUCUGAGACAGAAAUUAGAUUAAAUGGAGAUUUGCGCUGAUUUAUCCCCUUAGAAAAAGACACAACUAAUCACACAUGCAUCUCGUCAAUCUUACAUUUUGUAGUCUGUGCCCGGCAAAUUACAGAUUAGAUCUCCUUACUAACUCACUUAUUUCUCAGAGACAGAAAUGAGAUUAAAUGGAGAUUUCUCCUUAGAAAAAGACCAAAGUAAUCACACAUGCAUCUCCUCUAGUGUACCUUUUGUAGUGUACGUUCGGCAAAUCACAAACUAUAUUUCCUUAUUAUUUCAAUUAUUUCACAGAGACAUAAAUGAGACUAAAUGGAGAUUCAUGCUGAUUUUCCUCUUUAGAAAAAGACCCAAGAAAUCGCACAUGCAUCUCAUCAAGCUUACAUUUUGUAGUCUGUCCUUGGCAAAUUACAGAUUAGAUCUCCUUACUCUCUGAGAGACAGAAAUGAGAUUAAAUGGAGAUUCACACUGGUUUUUCUCCUUAGAAAUAGUCCCAAGUUAUUGCACAUGCGUCUCAUAAAGCUUACAUUUUGUAGUCUGUGCUCUGCAAAUUACAGAUUAGAUCUCCUGACUAUCUCACUUAUUUCUCAGAGACAGAAAUGAGAUUAAAUGGAGAUUCGCACUGAUAUUUCUACUUAGAAAAAGACCCAAGUAAUCGCACAUGCAUCUCCUCCAGUGUACAUUUUGUAGUGUGUGCUUGGCAAAUCACAAACUAUAUCUCCUUAUUAUCUCAAUUAUUUCUCAGAGACAGAAAUGAGAUUAAAUAGAGAUUCACGCUGAUUUUUCUUCUUAGAAAAAGACCCAAAUAAUCGCACAUGCAUCUCAUCAAGCUUACAUUUUGUAGUCUGUGCUUGGCAAAUUACAGAUUCGAUCUCCUUACUAUCUCAAUUAUUUCUCAGAGACAUAAAUGAGAUUAAAUGGAGAUUUGUGCUGAUUUAUUUCUUGAGAAAAUGACCCCAAUAAUUGCACAUGUAUCUCCUUCUAUCUUACAUUUUAUAGUGUGCACUUGGCAAAUUACAGUUUAGAUCUCCUUACUAUCUCACUUAUUUCUCAGAGACAGAAAUGAGAUUAAAUGGAGAUUCAUGCUGAUUUUUCUCCUUAAAAAUAAACCCAAGAAAUCACACAUGUAUCUAGCCUACAUUUUGUAUUUUGCACUCUGCAAAUCACAAAUUAGAAUGCAUCUCCUCUAGCGUUUUAGUAUCUCAGUGACAUCUCAAACUGUGCUCUGAAGUCUUCUAACAAAAGUCACAGAUCUCAAUAUUCUCAUCACAUUCUCCUAAGAGUUCCUGCUGUCCACAUUAAUUUUACAGCUCUAUACCCUUACAUACAGCCUCAUUUGUGUUUAUUUUUAUUGAUUUGAGAUGAAGUUGACGCUUAAAUAAAACUGAACUACAAGCAGCUGCUAAGCAAUAAAAUGUGCAGUUUAUCAGCUGCUCAACCGAACACCUCAGACCGUAAGUGUCUCCAGUCGAGACCUGCAUGAUGCAACCCUCUGCAAACACCCGCUGCCGCUAAACUCAUUUUUAUUAUUUUUUUCUUUCUUGCUCUCAUCUCUGAAGAGCAGCUAAUUGGAUGGAGGAGUGACUGAUGUACGGCGUGUGAAUUUGUCUUUCUGAUAAUGUUUGUGUGUAGGAGCGAACACGGAAACUGCUGCUGUGUGUGUGGGAGAUGCGUGACGUGCUCAUGCAUGUGGAAAAAUUGUUUUUUUAAAUCAGUAAUUUGGUAAAAUGAAGAACUGAAAUUAUUGUUGCUGGUUAAUGAGCUGAAAAACAAUCGCAUGUGUUUGUGAUGCUUCAAACAAGCACGAGUGUGUUAUGUGCGUGUGUGCGAGAGAACUUUAGCCCAGUUUUCCUAAAAAAACAACCCAAAAGGACCAAGCGGAAAAUAAUUCACAGUGACACUGACUGCCAAAACAAUCAUACUGCUCUAUAAUACACACACAGGUGAACGCACGUGCACACACACAUACUGUGCAGACCAAAGGUGCUGGUCAGCACAGGGGUCAGUGACCAUCACACACACUUCAGACUGCUGACUGAGUCUCAUGAGAAUAAAAACCAAAUAAAGCUCAACUGUCCCGCAGCAUUUAUUCAGGGAUUAUUAAACAAACAAUGAUUUUUACAACCGAUGAAGUGUGUCAUUUCUGCACAGCAAGCAGCACCAAACAAAACUGCAAAAAUAGCUAAUUUUUUUAGGAUGUUCUGGAUCGUUGCUAGGGUUAAGGGUUUGAACCCUCUUCCAUUGUUAAUAAAACAAGUUGCCCAAUCUCACUCCAUUGGUUGAGCGAGAUGUUGACAUGUCGGGCUGCUCCAACAACAGACUCACAAUGUUUACACUCUACAGGAAGUCAAACCAGCAAUAGCUUACUUACAGUUGACAUUAAAUGCCACCUUUAGGUUAACAUAUGAUUGUAAAAGAGUGUGUCUGGAUGGGGUUUGUGAUCUGACACACAUUACAGAAGUUAAACUGUCCAGGAACACUGACCCUGAUUCACUGACUCAAUAUUUAUUUUCUCCAGUCAGCAGCUGUGUACAUCACAUGCGUACAUGCACAAACGCACACGUACAACUAGCUUCGAUUGGUGAGGCGAAAAAUAAGGUGACCUCACACGUGACUGCACACACAUACAGUACACAUUGAAAAUGUACUCAAAUUUUGCUUAAACAAACACAUGCAUGUGCUCACACUCAGCAGAUGUGGAAUCUUGCACAACGUUUGUGUACGCUAAAGGGUAAGAUAUGGAGAAUGAACACAAACGCACGCAAUUUAAGCUGUACUAUUAUCUGAUUACAUCGGGUGCAUUAGAGUGCUCUAUUAAACGCUCCACUGAUCUGAGAUGGCUCCUGGCUGAAAGCAGAUGUACUGUGGACCCUUAAAUACAGUCUGGAAGAUGUGCUACAUCGUUGCCUCCGAUCUGCAAAAGAUCUGCCUCAGCACGGACACACACACGGGCCGGGUCUAUUAAAGACGGCAGAAUCGAACAGCCGAAAAUCAUUACGAGGCCUUCUGGAGUUUUUAUUCAGCUUGAGUUUACUGGUGUUACUUGAACACAGAUAAAAAACUCUAACAUCUAAAGAAUAAAUUAAUAAUAGGUGACAAAGACGCCUGUGAAUAGAAUAUUUUGACAAUGGUAUUUGUAAUGCUACAUCCACACCAGUAGGUGUCAGUAUAAGUCCAAAGCCUCGUUCAGACUGUCAGUCUAAAUCCGUUUUUUGUGCAUAUCUGAUCAGAUUUAUUAAGUGUGAAUUAGUGCUGUAAAAAUAUCGAUAUUUCCAUAUGUAUCGAUACUGGAAUAUCUGAAAUGGUUCCAAUACUCCUCACACGUGAUUCGCCAGGUUGAGGUCACAUGACCAGCUGAAUACUACUUGCUUUAGCUUAGCAGGUUGUCUGAAUAUUCUCUAACAAAUUUGGUUGCAGAACAAAUUACUAAUAGGUGACAAAGACGCCUGUGAAUAGAAUAUUUUGACAAUGGUAUCUGUAAUGCUACAUCCACACCAGUAGGUGUCAGUAUAAGUCCAAAGCCUCGUUCAGACUGUCAGUCCAAAUCCGAUUUUUAUGCAUAUCCGAUUAGAUUUAGCAAGUGAGAACUAGUGUUGUCAAAAAUAUUUUGAUAUGUAUCGAUACUGGAAUAUCUGAAAUGGUUCCAAUAUUCCUCACAUGAGAUUCGCCAUGUUGAGGUCACAUGACCAGCCGAAAACUACUUGCUUUAGCUUAAUAGGUUGUCUGAAUAUUCUCUAACAAUUUUGGUUGCAGAACAAAUUAAUAAUAGGUGACAAAGACGCCUGUGAAUAGAAUAUUCUGACAAUGGUAUCUGUAAUGCUACAUCCACACCAAUAGGUGUCAGUAUAAAGUCCAAAGCCUCGUUCAGACUGUCAGUCUAAAUCCGUUUUUUGUGCAUAUCGGAUCAGAUUUAGCAAGUGUGAAUUAGUGCUGUAAAAAUAUCGAUAUUUCCAUAUGUAUCGAUACUGGAAUAUCUGAAACGGUUCCAAUACUCCUCACACAUGAUUCGCCAGGUUGAGGUCACAUGACCAGCUGAAUACUACUUGCUUUAGCUAAGUAGGUCGUCUGAAUAUUCUCUAACAAUUCUGGUUGCAGAAUAAUUUAAUAAUAGG